CCAUCAUAUUGUAAUAUCUCUUUGCAUAUUCACACUCAGAAAAAAAUGAUAGCCUAAAAAAGUAACUAGCAACAUAGAUUAGCAAAUGGUCAAAAAAGGAAAAAUGGUCCAAGAUUCCCUGAGAAGGAAAAGAAAAACAAAGCCUAGGUACAACCAGGCUGAUACACUAACAGGCUAAGGUUGAACAUGUCAAACGCUCAUGAGAUAAUGUUAAAUCAGAAAAGCCUGCAAAAAUUGCAUUGAAAAAGGCAACUUACAGCAGCAUCUCCGUUGAAUCAGAAGCGUAUAAGAACACUCUUUAAACAGUCAACGACAUUUGAAAUAACACCAGAGUUACACUAUUAAUCAAGAAGCCCUCUUAGGAGGUGCCAUGUUUUUAAUAAGAGAAAUGGUUGUACCAAUAACGAAAAAUUGUACCACAAAUCCUGCAGAACAAGGACAUGGUCAAUACACCAAUUGUAUGCAGCAUAUGAUGAGAACCAGCUUUGCAAUAUGAAGCUCACCUAGUAGGACAGCUGCAAUCUUUAGAGUCUCCAAACUUGUAAAAUUUUGAAAAGCCUACAGAAAAACAUCAGUAGAUAUUUUUCAAUCAAGCCAAAAUGAUAGCAAGAAAUCAGAAAGAAACAAAUACACAAUAACAUCGUUAGAUUACUUUUAAUCAUGCCCAAAUAAUAGCAAGAAAUCAAAGAAAGAAGCAAAUACACAAAUAACAUCAUUAGAUUACUUUUAACCAAGCCCAAAUGAUAGCAAGAAAUCAAAGAAAGAAGCAAAAUCACAUAAAAUCAGAAGGAACAACUAACUUCUUGCAAAUGAGAGAGGAUUAUUUUAAGUGGUUUGACUAGUUUGAAAGAAGGAAAAAGUGAAUUGUCUGUAAAGAUAGUGUUUUGUGAACUUCAAAUAAGUUAUCGUACUUAUUGCUUGAUUCCAUUCUUUUACUUCCAUAUUAACCAAUAAACCCCUAAGAAAGCUAUUUGAAAAUUGGAAUACUGUCAAAGCCACUUUCCAACAUCAUGGACAAUGAGAUAGAACUAUCAAGUGGUCACUUUGAUGCUAAAAAGAGGCAACCAUAUAGUGAAAGAGGGAAUGAGAGCUGGUGAACACAGCAGGGGAUCUUCGACAAAGGAUACAGAGGGAAUGAAGAGACGGGUGAACACGAGCAGGGAAUCUUCAACAAAGGAUACAAAGGGAAUACCAGGUGGUGAGGGUGAUAGUAAGGAGGGGCGACAACAGAGUCUUAAGGAAGAGGAAGAGAAAAGUGGAACCCUUUUUUUUUUCUCCUUUUCUCAUUGGGCAUAAAUAGAGUAAAAGGAACCAUAACAAGCUACCUUCCUUCAAACAAGAACUGUCACAAACAACCAGCAUAUAUGGAUGUUGAGAUAUUUUGGUCUCUCUGUGGAUUAGUGACUCGGGUUAUACUCUCCUUUUACCCUUUUUCAGAAACGGGGUGGAGGAAGGACUAGCAUUAUAAACUUAUCUAUUUUUUAAAACAAGUUGACGAGAAACUACCAGAAAGACCAUACUCUUGCAAUAAAAUUAUCCACGGUGUAAAUGGGGAGAUAAAUGGAUGGCUACGGCCCUGCUGAAAGAUCAGUUCCCUGAACUGUUUGCAAUUGCCCAAUACAAGUAAGCUUCCUUGGCUUAUCUGAGAUUAGCAUAUCUGGAGGAUAUAAUUCAGAAGGAAUUUUAACGAUUGGGAACUGGAUAGAGUGACUGAAUAUUUUGCAACUUUAGAACCUUUCCAGCAGUUAUUCAUAAUAAAGACAGAAUUGCAAUAAGCCAGGAAAAAAUGGACUGUUAUCUGUCAAAUCUUACUACAAGGUACUCACUGGAAGCACAAAACCGAACUCACGUCGGCCAUGGCAAAGAAUAUGGAAGACAAAGGCCCCAUACAAAGUUGCUUGUUUCACAUGGUUGGUAGCUAGAGAGGUAUGUCUAAGUCAAGACAACCAACAGAGAAGGAGCCUAAAUUUAUGUAACAGGUGUUACCUUUGUGGUUAGCAAUCAGGGAGUAUAAAGCACAGGUUCCUACACUGUUCCAGAACCAACGUACUUUGGAAAAUAUUUUGAAUUACACUUGGCUCAUGCCUG
RNAcentral lists this long non-coding RNA (2088 nucleotides) under Nicotiana tabacum (common tobacco). RNAcentral's name for it is "long non-coding RNA (NTAB_LNC002135)". Lineage: Eukaryota; Viridiplantae; Streptophyta; Magnoliopsida; Solanales; Solanaceae. The record is from RNAcentral.